UGAGGCAAGGUGAGACAGUUGCCUCAGGCAGCCGGUUAUUGCGGGACCAACCAGGUAGCAAAAUGCUUCCCAGCCACUGCCAUUGGAACAUCUCUUUGGAACUGAUCUGAUCCUUGCAAAGCUUGCAGGAAGUACAAGGUUCAUAAAUAGAAGCACCCAGGAAUGAGAGAUUGAGUUUAAGGAGAUAUAAUAGUGCUGGACAAGGGCAUUAAGCCAAGCUCACUCCAAGCUUUGAUCUAUAAAUACAUCUGGUGUUUUCAACUACG
Molecule: long non-coding RNA, 266 nt
Organism: Hemicordylus capensis (graceful crag lizard)
Lineage: Eukaryota; Metazoa; Chordata; Lepidosauria; Squamata; Cordylidae
Exons: 2
Source: RefSeq, a predicted model, not a curated record